Molecule: ribosomal RNA, 492 nt
Filed under: uncultured bacterium
Lineage: Bacteria
Description: partial 16S ribosomal RNA
Rfam family: Bacterial small subunit ribosomal RNA
Source: RNAcentral
GACGAACGCUGGCGGCGUGCUUAACACAUGCAAGUCGAACGCUGAAGCCCUUUCGGGGGUGGAUGAGUGGCGAACGGGUGAGUAACACGUGGGUAAUCUGCCCUGUACUUCGGGAUAAGCCUUGGAAACGGGGUCUAAUACCGGAUAGGACCUGUCCUCGCAUGGGGGUGGGUGGAAAGUUCCGGCGGUAUGGGAUGAGCCCGCGGCCUAGCAGCUUGGUGGUGGGGUGAUGGCCUACCAAGGCGACGACGGGUAGCCGGCCUGAGAGGGUGACCGGUCACACUGGGACUGAGACACGGCCCAGACUCCUACGGGAGGCAGCAGUGGGGAAUCUUGCGCAAUGGGCGAAAGCCUGACGCAGCAACGCCGCGUGGGGGAUGACGGCCUUCGGGUUGUAAACCUCUUUCGGUAUCGACGAAGGGGUCCUUGUUGGGGCUCUGACGGUAGGUGCAGAAGAAGCACCGGCUAACUACGUGCCAGCAGCCGCGGUAA